CCUACGGGUGGCAGCAGUGGGGAAUAUUUCGCAAUGGGCGAAAGCCUGACGCAGCGACGCCGCGUGAGGGAUGAAGGUCUUCGGAUCGUAAACCUCUGUUAGCAGGGAAGAACGGUCACUGUGCUAAUCAGCAGUGAAUUGACGGUACCUGCAAAGGAAGCACCGGCUAACUCCGUGCCCGCAGCUGCGGCAAUACGGAGGGUGCGAGCGUUAAUUGGAAUUACUGGGCGUAAAGCGCUCGUAGGCGGUAUGUCAAGUCAAGGGUGAAAUCCCCGGGCUCAACGUGGGAACUGCCUUUGAUACUGGCAAACUUGAGUGUGUGAGAGGAUAGUGGAAUUCGAGGUGUAGGAGUGAAAUCCGUAGAUAUCUGGAGGAACAUCAGUGGCGAAGGCGACUAUCUGGCACAUAACUGACGCUGAGGAGCGAAAGCGUGGGUAGCAAACAGGAUUAGAUACCCUUGUAGUC
RNAcentral lists this ribosomal RNA (465 nucleotides) under uncultured bacterium. RNAcentral's name for it is "partial 16S ribosomal RNA". It matches the Rfam family "Bacterial small subunit ribosomal RNA", at positions 338 to 795 of the family's 1533-position model. The record is from RNAcentral.